UACGGAGGGUGCAAGCGUUACCCGGAAUCACUGGGCGUAAAGGGCGUGUAGGCGGUCGUGUAAGUCUGGUCUUAAAGACCGGGGCUCAACCCCGGGGAUGGACUGGGUACUGCACGACUGGACCUCUGGAGAGAGAACUGGAAUUCCUGGUGUAGCGGUGGAAUGCGUAGAUACCAGGAGGAACACCAAUGGCGAAGGCAGGUUCUUGGACAGAAGGUGACGCUGAGGCGCGAAAGUGUGGGGAGCGAACCGG
This 253-nucleotide ribosomal RNA is filed under the name uncultured bacterium. RNAcentral describes it as "partial 16S ribosomal RNA". It matches the Rfam family "Bacterial small subunit ribosomal RNA", at positions 524 to 776 of the family's 1533-position model. The record is from RNAcentral.